This 468-nucleotide ribosomal RNA is filed under the name uncultured bacterium. RNAcentral's name for it is "partial 16S ribosomal RNA". It matches the Rfam family "Bacterial small subunit ribosomal RNA", at positions 28 to 507 of the family's 1533-position model. The record is from RNAcentral.
GACGAACGCUGGCGGCGUGCCUAACACAUGCAAGUCGAACGGAAAGGUCAUGAUUUUGUGGGGUGCUCGUGAGGCGAACGGGUGAGUAAAACGUGUGUAAACCGCACUUGUCUUAGGGAUAAAUUCAGGGAACUGGGGAUAAUACAGGGUAGAAGCUACUGAUGCAUGUGGGGGGUUGGAAAGAUUCGGCGGUUGGGGAUGGACUAGCGGCUUCUCAGCUUGUUGGUGGAGUAGGGGCUUACAAAGGCUUCGAAGGGUAGCCGGCCUGAGAGGUGGAACGGCCACAUGGGGACUGAGAUACGGCGCAGAAGCGUACGGGAGGCAGCAGGGGGGAAUAUGGCAGAAUGGGCGGAAGCCUGAGGCAGCGACGCCGCGUGCGGGAUGACGUCUUUUGGGUGGUAAACCGCUUUCGCCGGUGACGAAGCGGGAGUGACGGUAAUGGGUAAAGAAGCACCGGCUAACUACGUG